Molecule: long non-coding RNA, 3381 nt
Organism: Heterocephalus glaber (naked mole-rat)
Lineage: Eukaryota; Metazoa; Chordata; Mammalia; Rodentia; Bathyergidae
Source: Ensembl
CGCGCUCGCGGAUACUCGCGCCGGAAAGCCGGGCACCACAACCGGACUGCAGCUGGCGGGUGCGCUGAUCUGACGUCACAGGGGCGGCCGCUCCCGCCCCACCCGCGUGGUGCCGCACCUCUGCGCAGCGGCGUUCCCGAGCCUCACAGGUGGGCAGAGAACUGCUUGGAUAGCUUCAUCACACACUGUCUUCAGACCUCAUUGGGUGAGAGCUGAGCACUCCAGCCACCUGGUUCCACAUUACAAAGAUGCAGAGGACAGUGGACCACCAGACCACUGUACUGAGUCCCGCCGCUCCCGGCCCAGAGGGCAGAGAAGCUCAGCUGGUCCCAGAACCCGGAAGGAAGCUCCCUAGGGAAGGUGAGCCACGUGGGCGCCAGAAGCACCCCCCCCCAUGGAAAUGAGAAAACACUUAAGGAAGCCUGAAAAACAGAGUUCCAGAUCACCUACAGCAACCCCAAAGGGAAACAAGAUGGAACAAUCUGAUACUCAACCACCUGGACUCUCUGAACUGGAAACAAAAGAGGAUCUGGGAAAAAUGAAAUCAGAAAUAAUUACUCAGAUAACAGCAAAGAUUUUGCUCAUGGUGCAAGACAUGAUUAAUAAAUCUAGAGAGGACAGAAAAAAAAUAGAGGCUCUGAGGAACAUGAUGGAAUCCCAACAUAGGAAACAAAUGGAAUCCAUAAAACAGAUUUCCAAGAGAUUAAAAACUGCAUCGAAAGUCUGUGCAGCAGAAUGAACCAAUGUGAGGAUAGAAUUUCACAUACAGAAGAUAAGAUUGCAAUUAGUGAGGAGGAAAAGAAAAAUUGCUUUAAAAUUGUAAGGGAACAUGAGAAAUCAAUCCAGCAGCUGCUAGAUGAUGUUAAGAAGAAUAACAUAAGACUGAUUGGAGUCAAUGAAGAAAGAGAGUGCAGAUGACAUAAAAAAUCUGUUCACAGAAGUGAUGGCAGAAAACUUCCCAAGGAGGGGAAAAGAACUUGACAUAAAGAUAAGUGAGGCAUAUAGGACUCCAGCUAGCCUUGAUCAAAAAAAUUUAUACAUAGGCAUAUAAUAGUUAGGAUUCCAGAAAUCCAACAGGAGAACAAAAUUCUACAAGCAGUGAGAGAAAAGAAACAAAUCACAUACAAAGGAAAGCCCAUCAGAAUCACAGCAGACUUCUCAAUGCAAACCCUCAAGGUAAGAAGAGCUUGGAGUGAUGUAUUUCAAGCUCUAAAGGAAAACAGCCUCCAACCCAGAUUGAUAUACCCUGCAAAACUAUCUUUCAAAAUCGAUGGAGAAAUAAGAUACUUUCAUGAUAAAGAGCACCUGAGGAACUUCAUGAAUACCAAACUGGCACUCCAAAAAAUUUUAGGCAAUACCCUAGGAAAAGACAAUGAGGAUCACAACCCCAGGAAACCCAGCAGAAUGAAUCCAUUGGGUGUGACAAAUUAAACGCAAAGCGGGAGAAUCCAACAAAAAAAAAGUCAUGACAAGGCUUUUAAAACUUUUGACUUCAUCUCCCUAAUGAGUGUAUAAUUCAAUCUUAUUAUUGUACUGAUUAGUAUUUUUCUGAUUCUAGAGUUGCACACCAUUCCUCGUGCUAUACUAUUUAUCAUCUUCUUAUGUCUACAUUUUAAUUGGGUUGUCUAUUAAUGAGCUCUAAGAAUUCUUUAUAUAUUCUGGUCAUAGGUUAUAUGCAUUGUAAAUAUGGUCUCUUUAAGGACUACUUUUCAUUUUAAUGAUGUCAUUUAAAGUUCUAAGUUUUGAUGGAAUCUCAUUUAUCAAUUUUUUUCUUUUAUACAUCAUGUCUUUUGUAUCCUAGGUAGUUCUUGCCUACCCUGAAUUCAUAAACAUUUUCCCUUAUAAUUUCUUCUUAAAGUUUUAUACUUUUAGGCUUUCUUAUUUAGGUUCAUCAAUCCCUUCAAGUUAUUUUCAUGUAUGGAAAAAGAGUUGAGGUUAAUUUUUUAUAUACGGAUACCAGGUGUUCUAGUGCCAUUUGCGGAAAACACUAUCUCUUCCUUGGCUCUUGAAUUGAGUUUAUAUUCUAUAAAAUGCUAAUGUUAAAUAAUCUUUCAAAACUCAGUGGAUCAUAUAUGUGUGGUUCUAUUUCUAGAUUCUCUGUUUUAUUCAAAUGAUUUAUAUGUCUUUCCUUACACCAGCACUGCCUUGAUUACUGUAGCUUUAGAAGAAGUUUUAAAAUUAGGUACUAAAUGUCUUCCAACACUGUUUUUUUUUUUUUAAAAAAAAACUUUUCUAGGUCCUUUGUACUCCUACAUAACUUUUAAAUUUCAAUAUACAAUUCUUUACUUAUAGCAAAUAUAUACAGGCCUGAAUUUUUAUAUAUACCUUGUGUUUUCUAAUCCUGCUAAAUUCAAGUACAAGUUCUAGGGGCUCCUAGAGAUUUCUUAGUAUUUUCUCUGUAGAUGAUCAUUUCAUCUACAUGUAAAGAUUUUGCUUCUGCCAUGCCAAUCCUAUCCUAGUUGUGUCAUUUUAUUGCCAGACUAUUUUGGUGGGGACUAGGUUUCAAAGUAUAAUGGACAGAUAAAGAGUAAGCAAAUCUGCCAUUGUUCCCCACCUUAAGGAGAAAGCAUUGUAUAUUCUCCAUUUAUAUAAGGCAUUCUCACUGGAAGUAUGGAGUACAUCUUUAAUCUGUUGAGAAGUUUCUGUUCUACUUCUAGUCUCCUGAUAGCUUUUACCAUGAACAGCUGUAGAAUUUAGUCCGAUACUUUUUCUCCAACUAGUGACAGGAUCAUAUGGCUUUUUCCUUUCCUCUGUUAAAAUGCUGACUUUUGGGGGUGGAUCUUCCAAUGCUGAACCAACACUGCCAUCCCUAUAACAAAAAAACUUUCUACAUCCUACCAGAUCUGACUUCCAAUAGUUUUUGUUGUUAAACAAAUUUCUAUCUAUGUUCAUACAUUUUUCUUCUAUUAUCUUUAUCCAGUUUUAGGAUUAGCACAAUGUUGAGUUCCUAAAAUGAAGGGAGAAGUGGUCCUUCUUUUUUCUGCUUUAAUUGUUUGAUAUAAUUUAUCAGUUAAAAUGUUUAUGAGCCUCCUGUUGUCAUAUAGGUAGGUUUUCAAGCUAGGAAUAUACUUUCUUUAAUAGGUGCUAUUCAAAUUUUAUAUUUCCUCCAGAGCUAGUUUCAUUAAUUUGUCUUCCAAAGUACUUCUUAGAAGUUGUCAAAUUUAUUUCAAAACAGAUUUUUGUAAUAUGCUUUCUAUAUCCUUUUAAAUUCUGUAAAAUCUGUGGUAAUGUCUCCUAGAUCUUGAUAUUGUAAUUUUAAAAAUGUAUAACUGAUAUUGUGUAACAGGAAGAAAAGGUCUAAAAGAGCAGGGGAAUUGGGAGAGGUAGGGGAAGGGAAAAAAGAGAAAGGAAAAAAUAUGAGAAGAAAAAAAUGGAAACAAG